Molecule: transfer RNA, 74 nt
Filed under: Ostreobium quekettii
Lineage: Eukaryota; Viridiplantae; Chlorophyta; Ulvophyceae; Bryopsidales; Ostreobiaceae
Description: tRNA-Ile
Rfam family: tRNA
About the family: Transfer RNA (tRNA) molecules are approximately 80 nucleotides in length. Their secondary structure includes four short double-helical elements and three loops (D, anti-codon, and T loops).
Source: RNAcentral
GGGCAUGUAACUCAGUGGUUCAGAGUACGCGCUUGAUAAGCGUGAAGCCGAGGGUUCGAAUCCCUCCUUGCCCA